CGGAGCCACGAGUGGUAACCAUGUUUAUUGGGCCUAAAGCGUUCGUAGCUGAUUUGGCAAAUCUUUUGCGAAAUUGUUGGGCUUAACCCAACAAUGUGCAAAAGACACUACCAAGUUAGGGACCGGGAAGAGAUAGAGGUAUUCUUUGGGAAACGGUUAAAUGUUUUAAUCCUUAGAAGACCACCAAUGGCGAAGGCAUCUAUCUAGAACGGGUCUGACAGUGAGGAACGAAAGCUAGGGGAGCGAACCGGAUUAGAGACCCGAGUAGUCC
Molecule: ribosomal RNA, 271 nt
Filed under: uncultured archaeon
Lineage: Archaea
Description: partial 16S ribosomal RNA
Rfam family: Archaeal small subunit ribosomal RNA
Source: RNAcentral